CCUUCCUGACUUGCGACCCCAGACUCUAGAGGAGGGAGCCACGUUCUCUCCUACCCGUUCCAGUGCCUCUGAGGCCGUCAGCAAGGUCAUUCUGACAUGCAGCCAAACUGGAAAAUGGAGCUACAAAGAAACUUUGAGUGUGCUUACUUGAUCUCAGAGUCCCUACGAUUAAAAGAAAUGAACAGGUCCAGUGAAGGAUGUCAGACUAAAUCACCAGGAUGGAGAGCCACCUCCCACUCAGCCCCACACUGCUCAGUCUGGAGUCCUAGCAUGAGAAGGGAGUCCACCUACCCUGGAUUAGGGACGUGAACCUGCCUCAGGGAAUUCCUAAGCCCGGCUCCCGAGAGGCCUGAGGGCUUCUGUAAAUGGGCCAUCCCUGAGGGAAGUGACAGACCCAGACCUCUGAAGACGACCGGACCCUGCCUGCCAGCUAAGCCCACCUUUCUCAGGAUGUCCCAAGACCAGAAUCAUUGGUAUCCCCUGAGAACUUCUUAAAACACAACAAGGAGAAUCUGAGAAACCUUCACCGCCAAGAGGAGGCCAAGGAGAUGGCAACUAAAUUCAUUAUGGUUUCCUGGACAGGAUCCUGGAACAGAACAUUAU
Molecule: long non-coding RNA, 603 nt
Filed under: Equus asinus (donkey)
Lineage: Eukaryota; Metazoa; Chordata; Mammalia; Perissodactyla; Equidae
Description: lncRNA (ENSEASG00005025671.1)
Source: RNAcentral